GGAAAGAUGAAAAGAACUUUGAAAAGAGAGUUAAACAGUACGUGAAAUUGUUGAAAGGGAAACGAUUGAAGUCAGUCAUACCAACGGGAAAUCAACCUUUUGAACUUUGUCUCGUGGGUUCGAAGAGUUUAAACGCCUUCGGGUUCGCGAGAUUGGGAUCUUUUGGUGUACUUUCUCGUACGGUUAGUCAACAUCGGUUUUGAAUGUCAUAAAAUGACUGGAGGAAUGUAGCUUCGAUCUCGUAUCGAAGUGUUAUAGCCUUUGGUAGAUGUGAUGUUCGAGACCGAGGAUUGCAACGGAUACCCUUCAUGGGCUAUUCGUCUGAUCUCUGAUACGUUGCCUUGACGUUGAAAGCUUGCUUACGAUGUUAGGGUAUUACGGUCAAAAGGUUAGAACGGAUUAAAUUCGUUAAGGAUGUUGACGUAAUGACUUUAAACGACCCGUCUUGAAACACGGACCA
Molecule: ribosomal RNA, 460 nt
Filed under: Funneliformis coronatus
Lineage: Eukaryota; Fungi; Glomeromycota; Glomeromycetes; Glomerales; Glomeraceae
Description: LSU rRNA
Rfam family: Eukaryotic large subunit ribosomal RNA
Source: RNAcentral